This 496-nucleotide ribosomal RNA is filed under the name uncultured bacterium. RNAcentral describes it as "partial 16S ribosomal RNA". It matches the Rfam family "Bacterial small subunit ribosomal RNA", at positions 29 to 507 of the family's 1533-position model. The record is from RNAcentral.
AUGAACGCUGGCGGCGUGCCUAAUACAUGCAAGUCGAGCGAACAGACGAGGAGCUUGCUCCUCUGACGUUAGCGGCGGACGGGUGAGUAACACGUGGAUAACCUACCUAUAAGACUGGGAUAACUUCGGGAAACCGGAGCUAAUACCGGAUAAUAUAUUGAACCGCAUGGUUCGAUAGUGAAAGACGGUUUUGCUGUCACUUAUAGAUGGAUCCGCGCCGCAUUAGCUAGUUGGUAAGGUAACGGCUUACCAAGGCAACGAUGCGUAGCCGACCUGAGAGGGUGAUCGGCCACACUGGAACUGAGACACGGUCCAGACUCCUACGGGAGGCAGCAGUAGGGAAUCUUCCGCAAAGGGCGAAAGCCUGACGGAGCAACGCCGCGUGAGUGAUGAAGGUCUUCGGAUCGUAAAACUCUGUUAUUAGGGAAGAACAAAUGUGUAAGUAACUAUGCACGUCUUGACGGUACCUAAUCAGAAAGCCACGGCUAACUACGUG